CUGUACUUCAGAUGUUGGUUAGUUUAACGAUGCAUCGUACCAUGAUAGUUCAAUGCUACCUUCCCGCGUUGUACAGGAAAAGCACUGGUCGAUCUGGUGACACCUGAGGUUACUGUCACAAAUCCUCGGCUGUAGUAACCGUUUAGGUGUUUGUGUGUGUUUGUUCUUUGUCUAUGGUUUACGUGCUGGGUGCUUGUUGUGUUUUUGUUUUGUCUUGUGGUACUCUCUUGGCAGUGCUUGGGGGAGCAUGCCUAUCUCUGGCUUCUCACACACCUGGCUCUGAGGUCGUCACCACACCUGCUCCGCAACUAAUCAUCUGCAGUACUUCAGGAGCAGCCACACAUCAUUGAAUCAUUCCUGGAAACUCAGUCCUGAAAACCCAGCCUGUGCAGCCUACGCUACCUGAAAGCCAGUUUGGAACCAACCCCUAUUCAAGCCCGCCAUCCAGCCUCUUGCAGAAUAACCUCCCCUGGACUUCCUCCACUCUCACCUGCCAGCUUUCCCCAAAUCCACAUUUCACUAUUGUCUAAAUAAACUUUUAAAACUCUC
Long non-coding RNA from Micropterus salmoides (largemouth bass), 549 nucleotides. RefSeq lists it as uncharacterized. The transcript is spliced from 2 exons. NCBI's taxonomy places the organism in Eukaryota, Metazoa, Chordata, Actinopteri, Centrarchiformes, Centrarchidae. The record is from RefSeq and is a predicted model, not a curated record.